UGGGACAGUGUGCUUGCUCCCUCCUCGGGGUCCUGCCCAGACCUCCCCACUCGUGUCCAUCCUUCCCCUCCCUGAAACCGGCUGUGCUUCGCUGAGUGGCUCUCACUCUGCAGUUUCUGGGCGAUCUUCCUGAUGUCCUGUCACCGCCUCAACCACAAGGUGGCGAUGAAGAGUGCGUUGCACUCACAGCAUCCACUCUUUAAUAUGCUCACAAAAUUUGGCUUUUACCCAAACUAGAAAAAUCAGGGAACCCCAGACUCAGGCCCAGUAGAGACCCCAAAGAAGCAGAGAAGGGUCAGUUCACUGAGGGGCCACACCUGCCCCAGGGCCAGGCCACUGUCCAUCCUGGUGCCACCACCACCCUGCUGGCCUGGCCCCCCCCAACCAGACAGCAGUCCCCACCCAGCCCAGCACCGGUAACCUUGAGAAUAGGGGCCAAUCAACAGGGGGGCCAGGAGCCCCCAAGGUGCAGGGUGCACUGAGGGCCCCACCGGCCCUGCUGAACACAGGCCUGACACCACCUCUCUCCUUCAAGGCCACCGACGCUCCUGGGAGGCAGUCAGUGCCGUCUCCCUGCGUCACUGGCAGAAGACUGAGGCUCAGAGGGGCAGAGUGACCUGCCUUGACCACCCACGCAUGUCUAUGCCGGAGCACCAGGCUGCCCCAGCGGCUCCUCCCGGCCUUCUGCAGCCCCAUCGCCCACCCACAUGGAACAUGGCUGGGGUGGACUGCAGGGAUGGAGCUGGGGCAGGACACAGCCCUAGGAGCACCUGCCUGGCGCCAGCUUCUGCUGACGGCAGCCCAACAGCCCCCAGCCACGUGGCAAAGCGGGUCCCCACGCAGCCCUGGCUGCAGCUGCUCCAGGGGUGGCCUGAGACUUCUCAAAGAAGAUGCUGUGCCCGGUCCCCCGGAACCCCUACUUGGCCUGACCCCGCUGAUGCUGCAGGCCCCCAGCCCAGCCAGGUGGGGACACCCAGCAUCCACCCGCAGGGAGGGGUGGCGUGCGGCCCACUGACCUCCCGGAAGAAGGCAGCAUUUCUCUGCACGCUGUCGCUGGCAUGAGCAGCCUGGAUCUCGGGGUAAAAGGAGCUGAUGACAUAGUCGAGCAGCUGCACUCGAAUGUCGUUCCUCCCCACGCUGGGGCCUGCACGCCCUGUGUGCUCAUCUGCAGACUUAAAAAUCUCAAAGGAUCCAAACCUGGAGGGAAGACCCGAGGCGUCAACAGCCCAAACCUGACCCCAGCCCCUUGUGAAAAUAAGAAAAAGGAAAAGA
This 1272-nucleotide long non-coding RNA is filed under the name Homo sapiens (human). RNAcentral describes it as "HSALNT0406728". Lineage: Eukaryota; Metazoa; Chordata; Mammalia; Primates; Hominidae. The record is from RNAcentral.